RNAcentral lists this ribosomal RNA (110 nucleotides) under Campylobacter jejuni. The record is from RNAcentral. Lineage: Bacteria; Pseudomonadati; Campylobacterota; Epsilonproteobacteria; Campylobacterales; Campylobacteraceae.
GUUUGGAAUAUGUGGAAACGCCUUGCUCCAUCCCGAACCAAGAAGCUAAGCACAUCGUGGGUGAUGAUACUACGCCUUACUGGCAGGGGGAAAGUAGCUCAUUGCGGACU